AGUGUUCUGCCUUUCUUCUCUCCUAGUGUCAUUGUGUUGUAUCCCACCAUCAAAAGAAUCUUUAAAUCUUAUAAAACAUCUAGCCUGGCCAUCCACACCAGGAAGAAGACCAUGAUAUGUUUUCAUUUAACAUCACUAUCUGAUAAAUUUAAUUCUCUUUUAGGUAAAUCUAAUAAGUAACGUCUAUGUCAUCUGCAUCAUAGCUGCCUGCACCAUGCAGUAAGAGAGGACAGAUAAAUAAGUUAGGAUUUCUAACACUAACUUGAAGUGUCUUCUAAAUUCAGAGACUUCUCAAAUAUAAGAAUGGUACAAAAGCGGGUAGGCAGAUGAAUAGAAGGAUAAAUAGCUGUCUGGAUAUCUACCGUAAAUAUUUUAAUUAGAUAACAUACAACAUAAUAAAGCAGAAGAGAGGAGGAAGAGGAAAUUAGUAAAAUAAAAUCUGAAAUUAUUAUUAUUAUUUUUUGGUUUUUUGAGGAAGAUUAGCCCUGAGCUAAUUGCUGCCAAUCCUUCUCUUCUUGCUGAGGAAGACUGGCCCUGAGCUAACAUCCAUGCCCAUCUUCCUCUACUUUAUACGUGGGACGCCUGCCACAGGAUGGCUUGCUUAGCGGUGCCAUGUCCGCACCAGAGAUCUGAACUGGCGAACCCCGGGCUGCCAAAGUGGAACGUGCACACUUAACCUCUGCACCACCAGGCCUGCCCCAAAUCUGAAAUUAUUAAACUGCAAAAGUAAAAAUACUUCCUGGAGAAAACCUGCUCAUCUAUCAAGGCUCAGUUCAAGAAUCACCCCUCUGAAGACUUUCAUGCUGCUCAGUUGGAGAAAUCUUGUCAUUUCCUUUAUUGCACUUACUGGUUAGUAGGUCUGGUUCAUCACAAUGCAGAAUGGGGUUCUGAUAGAUGUCCUGGAUUCAGGUCCCAGCUAUGCCACCUACUAAAUGUGAGACUUUUGUCAGUCUCAAAGCCUAAAUUUACUCAACUGUACAAUGGGGAUAAUAGUCUCACUUACUUCAAAAUGCCAUUGGGAGGAUUCAUUCAGAUAAUACUUAUAAAGCACUCAAUACCUGCCACUUACUGGGUGCUAGUUGUUUUGGGGGUGAUGAAGGAGCGUUGCUAGACUGUGUGGUCCUUGGUGAUGUAGCUCUGCUUCACC
This 1147-nucleotide long non-coding RNA is filed under the name Equus caballus (horse). RNAcentral's name for it is "lncRNA (ENSECAG00000029602.2)". The record is from RNAcentral. Lineage: Eukaryota; Metazoa; Chordata; Mammalia; Perissodactyla; Equidae.